GUUUGAGUGAUGCACAGGGUAGUUGGUUCCGGGCGAAGGGGGCUGUUUCGUUGCCAUGCCAUCGUGCUGCGCGCCGAGGGCCGGUUCUGCUACGCUAGCCGGGCCGGCAGGGAGACUCUCCGUGCCAAAAGAGAGGUCUUCAGGAGGAAGUUGUUGGAAAACAGGGUUCAUAAUGGAAACUGUUGCAAUUUCAACCUUGCUAUUGCCGCUAGCUAGGGUAACUGGAAAAGUAACGGUACCGUUCAAAAGUUACCUAAGUAUUAACAAUCUGAUUUCGACUGGCCUUUGGGGAUGUUGACGAAAAAUGUAAGGUUGUUCAACAUAGUGCAAGCUGUUCAGAAGAAAAGUGGAGAAUUUGAUACAUGCUUAUAUUUUGAGACUGGUGAUGAAAGAAAAUUGAUUAUUGCAUCGGAGCCAAGUGCUGUAUUGCCCAGGCUAAGGGUGGCUUAUCAACAGAUCAUGUCCUGAUUUUGCCUAUUGGGCAUUACCAGUCAGUGGCUGAACUUUUUGCAGAGGUGGUGGAAGAAGUAAACAAGUGUUGUUUGAAAGAAAUUACCAGAGUCCUCACCUACAGUUGCAGGUGAUUCCUAUACCACUCACUGUUGUGCUACUGAAGACAUUAAAGAGUCCUCUAUUGUACAAGUGCAAGAAUAACUGAUCGAAUUACUAGAAAUCCCAGAGCACUCUGAUAUCACGCAAGCGAGACAUAGACUUCAUUCAAGAGGCAGUGAGACCUAUUCAGUGGAUGUCCAGUUUGCUGCAACUGUUUGAACUCGUCCCCACCUGCACCAGGGGUUCUAGUGUCCCAGCUCUGAGGCCUGGUCUAUACUACAGAGUUUGUUUAUUUGCAAGGCAGCUUAUGUUGACCUAAUUCUGUAAGCGUCUACACUAAAAUGUUGCUCCCACCGAUGUAACUUGCCCUCUCCGUCGACUUAGUAACUCCACCUGCACAAGAGGCAUAGUGCUUAGGUCAACAUAGUUUGGUUGACCCAAUCAGUGACACUGCGUUACUUAUGUCUACUUUAGUGGCUUCCAGGAGGUGUCCCACGAUGCCCCAUACGUAGCUGCUCUGGUCACCUUUUAGAACUCUGCUGCUUGGCAGUCAGGUAUGCAUGUACAUGGCCCUCCCCCUUUAAAGCCCUGCCAAUUUUAAAUUUUAUUUCAUGUUUGGUUGGUAUAGAGAGCUCACACAGCAACUGCCCAGCUGACCAUGCUGGCUCCACGCAGCAAAGGUGCUCUUGCCAGGAGCAUACAGCAGGUGGUGGAUCUCCUUGGUCUGGGGAGAAGAGGCUGUGCAGGCACAGCUCUGAUCCAUCCGUAGAAACAUUGACAUCCAUGGCCAGAUCGCUUGGGGCAUAGUGGAGAAGGGCUACAACAGGCACAUGCCGCAGUGCUAUGUAAAAAUCAAGGAGUUGCUGCAGGUGUACCAGAAGGCAAGGGAGGCAAACUGUCACUCUGGUGUGGAACCGCAGACAGGCUCCUUCUACAAGGAGCUGCAAGCCUUCCUUGGGGGAGACACCACCACCACAAGCCCCGUGGAUACUUCAGGGGAGCUGGAAUCAGCGGCCCCUGCAGUGUAUACUGAGGAGGAGGAGGAGUUUUGGAGGACAGGCGGCUGGGGGAAUGCAGUGGUGCAGUGAGCCAGGACCUCUUUCUGACCGCCGGAGCAGUCGAGUGAGUCCCUGCUAUCCAGCACCGGUGAGCCUGAUGCAGGGGAUGGAACUCUGCUGGAAAUGUGGCCUUGAGGGUCUCUUCAUCCACACCACUGGAGUGGCUCAGAUGAUGAGAAGAAAGGGGAUGAGGGACAACAUGUUCCAUGAGAUCCUGCAAGCCUCUGGUGUUGCACAUACUGAGCAGAGGGCUUGGAGGAGCACUCUUGUGGACAGAAUGGAAAGGGAUAGUGCAGAGAGGAGAAACACACAGGAAAAGGACAGACACACACAGCAGGUCAUGAUAGCACUUCUCAAGCACCAGAUGGACAUACUGGAGAUUCUUAUAGACCUUCGGGUCCAAGUAAUCCUUCCUUGCCUCCCGCUGCAGUCUAUCGAUAACUGCAUUCUGGGACCUCCCUAUGCUCCCUGCCCCUACAUUCCACAUAUAUUUUGGGGCCACUGCAGUACCCCUACCCUCUACCCCGAGGGAGAGUACACACAAUCAGAGCUGCAGGUACACUGACCUAUGAGAGACGGUGUAUUUGUGUUUUGAAAUGAGAAUGACUGUUCUUUCCCCUUUAAAGGUUCUUUUCCCUGUAUUUAUAUAGUUUCAUUCAGUUACAGUUAUUUUUGUUUGCAAGAGUUUGGAAUAAAAGUCUAUUUAUGGAAACUUAAUUCAU
Mauremys reevesii (Reeves's turtle) is the source of this 2332-nucleotide long non-coding RNA. RefSeq lists it as uncharacterized. The record is from RefSeq and is a predicted model, not a curated record. NCBI's taxonomy places the organism in Eukaryota, Metazoa, Chordata, Testudines, Geoemydidae. The transcript is spliced from 8 exons.